UGCACCUGCACCUCAUCACCCACCUCCUCUGCCUGCCACACCUGCCAGCAAUCAGCCUCAUCUCCAACAGUACUUCUACCCCGGUUCUCCAGUCAACCCCUGCUUGAUUGUCGUUGCUCCUAACCCGGUUCACUCACCCUCGUCCUCUGUCAAGUCAGCUGGGCUCGCUCACCUGCCCUCUCCCCUCGGACUUCCCCCACGGCGUCCUCCCGGCUCUCCCUCGUGCCUCCCCAGUCAGCCUACCACCACACUCCUCCACCAACCCCCUGAUCAGUUCUCCCGUGCCUCCUCUCCUCCUCGGCCCCCAGUGUCCCUCUGCUCUCUGGUUUGUCUCCUUGGUUCCCCGUGCCUGCGUUUCCCCGGCAGCCACCUCUCUGUCAACUUCAGUCCCUCAACCCCUUCUUUCCCCUAAUAAAACCUGUUCAUCUUGA
Long non-coding RNA from Micropterus dolomieu (smallmouth bass), 431 nucleotides. RefSeq lists it as uncharacterized. The record is from RefSeq and is a predicted model, not a curated record. Lineage: Eukaryota; Metazoa; Chordata; Actinopteri; Centrarchiformes; Centrarchidae. The transcript has 2 exons.